Molecule: ribosomal RNA, 254 nt
Filed under: uncultured bacterium
Lineage: Bacteria
Description: partial 16S ribosomal RNA
Rfam family: Bacterial small subunit ribosomal RNA
Source: RNAcentral
UACGGGGGGAGCAAGCGUUGUUCGGAUUUACUGGGCGUAAAGGGCGCGUAGGCGGUCACGACAAGUCAGUUGUGAAAUCUCCGGGCUUAACUCGGAAAGGUCAACUGAUACUGCGGGGCUAGAGUGCGGAAGGGGCAACUGGAAUUCUCGGUGUAGCGGUGAAAUGCGUAGAUAUCGAGAGGAACACCUGCGGCGAAGGCGGGUUGCUGGGCCGACACUGACGCUGAUGCGCGAAAGCCAGGGGAGCGAACGGG